This 755-nucleotide ribosomal RNA is filed under the name Fusarium oxysporum f. sp. niveum. Its description in RNAcentral is "SSU rRNA". It matches the Rfam family "Bacterial small subunit ribosomal RNA", at positions 323 to 964 of the family's 1533-position model. Lineage: Eukaryota; Fungi; Ascomycota; Sordariomycetes; Hypocreales; Nectriaceae. The record is from RNAcentral.
GUCACUUCUCCAAGUUGCCAGUUCAGCAGUGAGGAAUAUUGGUCAAUGGCCUAACGGCUGAACUGGCAACUUGGAGAAGUGGCAAGUCUUCCAGUAUGGGGAGCAAAACAGCUAUGGGUCAAGUCCGAUAUCUUUAGGAGAAGUCUUAUUGUGAGGGCGAGUUAUAUAACACCAUAGGACUGGCCGUCCCAUAUGAAAAGAUUAUAUUAGAAUUGAAUGAAGCUUUGUUUAUAUAUUGAUAAUGACAGUAUAUAUAUCGUGUCUUGACUAAUUGCGUGCCAGCAGUCGCGGUAAUACGUAAGAGACUAGUGUUAUUCAUCUUAAUUAGGUUUAAAGGGUACCCAGACGGUCAAUAUAGCUUAUAAAAUGUUAGUACUUGACUAGAGUUUUAUGUAAGAGGGCAGUACUUGAGGAGGAGAGAUGAAAUUUCGUGAUACCAAAGGGACUCUGUAAAGGCGAAGGCAGCCCUCUAUGUAAAAACUGACGUUGAAGGACGAAGGCACAGAGAACAAACAGGAUUAGAUACCCAAGUAGUCUUUGCAGUAAAUGAUGAAUGCCAUAGGUUAGAUUGAUCAAUUAUAGUCUAGGGUUAGUCUAGCAAACUAAUGCCCUAUGAUAUAAUUCAAAAUAUCUGGUCUAUAAAUGAAAGUGUAAGCAUUUCACCUCAAGAGUAAUGUGGCAACGCAGGAACUGAAAUCACUAGACCGUUUCUGACACCAGUAGUGAAGUAUGUUAUUUAAUUCGAUGAUCCGCAA